UAUUGAAUAUAGUUCCCUGUGCUAUACAGUAGGACCUUGUUGUUUAUCUAUGUUAUACAUGAUAGUAUCUUCAAAUCCAGAGCUCACACUUUAUC
Non-coding RNA from Vicugna pacos (alpaca), 95 nucleotides. The record is from RefSeq and is a predicted model, not a curated record. NCBI's taxonomy places the organism in Eukaryota, Metazoa, Chordata, Mammalia, Artiodactyla, Camelidae.